RNAcentral lists this unclassified non-coding RNA (208 nucleotides) under Hevea brasiliensis (rubber tree). Lineage: Eukaryota; Viridiplantae; Streptophyta; Magnoliopsida; Malpighiales; Euphorbiaceae. The record is from RNAcentral.
GCUCUCCGAUGUCGUAGCCAUCAUGGAAAGGUAUCGCAUCAAGCGCGUUCCCGUGAUGAACAGCAACAACAAGCUCACCGGAAUCAUCAGCCGCCAGAACUUCGUCCGGGCUGUCGCAGGCCUCGCUCGCGAUGUCCCCGACCCCACUGCGGACGAUUCACACAUCCACACCCGCAUUCUCAAAGAGAUCGGGCGUCAUGACUGGGGC